RNAcentral lists this ribosomal RNA (769 nucleotides) under Cellulosimicrobium funkei. Its description in RNAcentral is "bacterial SSU rRNA". It matches the Rfam family "Bacterial small subunit ribosomal RNA", at positions 61 to 842 of the family's 1533-position model. The record is from RNAcentral. Lineage: Bacteria; Bacillati; Actinomycetota; Actinomycetes; Micrococcales; Promicromonosporaceae.
GUCGAACGAUGAUGCCCAGCUUGCUGGGUGGAUUAGUGGCGAACGGGUGAGUAACACGUGAGUAACCUGCCCUUGACUUCGGGAUAACUCCGGGAAACCGGGGCUAAUACCGGAUAUGAGCUACCUUCGCAUGGGGGUGGUUGGAAAGUUUUUCGGUCAGGGAUGGGCUCGCGGCCUAUCAGCUUGUUGGUGGGGUGAUGGCCUACCAAGGCGACGACGGGUAGCCGGCCUGAGAGGGCGACCGGCCACACUGGGACUGAGACACGGCCCAGACUCCUACGGGAGGCAGCAGUGGGGAAUAUUGCACAAUGGGCGAAAGCCUGAUGCAGCGACGCCGCGUGAGGGAUGAAGGCCUUCGGGUUGUAAACCUCUUUCAGCAGGGAAGAAGCGCAAGUGACGGUACCUGCAGAAGAAGCGCCGGCUAACUACGUGCCAGCAGCCGCGGUAAUACGUAGGGCGCAAGCGUUGUCCGGAAUUAUUGGGCGUAAAGAGCUCGUAGGCGGUUUGUCGCGUCUGGUGUGAAAACUCGAGGCUCAACCUCGAGCUUGCAUCGGGUACGGGCAGACUAGAGUGCGGUAGGGGAGACUGGAAUUCCUGGUGUAGCGGUGGAAUGCGCAGAUAUCAGGAGGAACACCGAUGGCGAAGGCAGGUCUCUGGGCCGCAACUGACGCUGAGGAGCGAAAGCAUGGGGAGCGAACAGGAUUAGAUACCCUGGUAGUCCAUGCCGUAAACGUUGGGCACUAGGUGUGGGGCUCAUUCCACGAGUUCC